Molecule: long non-coding RNA, 665 nt
Filed under: Pan troglodytes (chimpanzee)
Lineage: Eukaryota; Metazoa; Chordata; Mammalia; Primates; Hominidae
Description: long non-coding RNA NONPTRT002772
Source: RNAcentral
CGGGCGUCCUGGUCGUAGGCCUUCAGGGUCUCGCUGGAGCUGUAGGAUUUCUGCGGGGCUUUGCCCUCCUCGCUGUCCGCGGACGAGCUGGUGUAGCGGCGCUCGGCGUCGCGGCGCCGGGUCAGCGAGCGGACCAGGGAUGUGCCAGUUUCUUGCUGUUGCUAAAGCCCAGGCGUCUCACCAUCAGGGCUGGCUCUCAGACCCUGCUGCACCUCCGUCUCUUCAUUAAAGUCUGCUCCUCUAAGCCAUCUAGAGUGAACUGUUUCCUGUUAGGAUCCUGACCAAUGAUACAGCUUCACCCCUUACUUUCUGUUGGCUUUCAGCAAUCAUCAUCAUCAUUGAACUAAUAAUAACACCAGCCACCACUUACUCAGGGUUUGCCAUAGGCCAGGCACCGGUCAAGUGCUUGAGAUGAUUUCAUUUAGUUCUCACCAUUUCUACCUCUGUGAAUUGGUCCCAUUUUACUGAUGAAGAGCCUGUGGCUUAGAGAAGUAAAAUAACUGGCUUGCAAUCACACAGGAAGAGACUCAAGAGCUGGAUGUGUCCAACUGCAAACCUUCUUUCCAGAACCCUCUAUCCUGACAGUGAUAGAAUGAGCUCCAGGCUAGGAGUAAGGCCUGUCCUGGCCACCUCCUAGCUGUGUGGCCCUGGGCACAGGACAUUUA